RNAcentral lists this unclassified non-coding RNA (303 nucleotides) under Micromonospora sp. RNAcentral's name for it is "partial 16S-23S ribosomal RNA intergenic spacer". Lineage: Bacteria; Bacillati; Actinomycetota; Actinomycetes; Micromonosporales; Micromonosporaceae. The record is from RNAcentral.
GGAGCCCGCGGCCCGCGAAUGUCGGGUCGGGGUGCUCAAUGGCGGAGACACUGGCAAGUCGAUCGCCGGCAACGGCCUGGUUCCUCUAUUACAGCUGCUCUUCGGGGUGGUGGGAACGAGAACCUGGUGCGGCUGGUGGUGGAUGUAAGCACCCUGUUGGGUCCUGAAGGAACAACCCGAGUGGUUGUUGUUUCAGAACCAUGACCCCGCCUGAGGGCGGGGGUUGGUGCCAGGCAUGGCCUGGUCUCGCAAACCGUGAUCACGUGGUGGUUGCAGGUGUGGGGCUGUGGGUUGUGGGUUGGU